GAAAUGCGAUAAGUAGUGUGAAUUGCAGAAUUCAGUGAAUCAUCGAAUCUUUGAACGCACAUUGCGCCCCUUGGUAUUCCAUGGGGCAUGCCUGUUCGAGCGUCAUUUGUACCCUCAAGCUCUGCUUGGUGUUGGGUGUUUGUCCCCGUCUCCGCGCGUGGACUCGCCCCAAAGUGAUUGGCAGCCGGCGUACUGGUCCCGGAGCGCAGCACAUGUCGCGCAAACGAGUGCCUUGGUACGGCGGCGUCCAUAAGCCCCUCUCUCACGCUGUUGACCUCGGAUCAGGUAGGGAUACCCGCUGAACUUAAGC
Molecule: unclassified non-coding RNA, 310 nt
Filed under: plant metagenome
Description: partial contains 5.8S ribosomal RNA, internal transcribed spacer 2, and large subunit ribosomal RNA
Rfam family: 5.8S ribosomal RNA (bases 1-105)
Source: RNAcentral